Molecule: ribosomal RNA, 157 nt
Filed under: uncultured bacterium
Lineage: Bacteria
Description: partial 16S ribosomal RNA
Rfam family: Bacterial small subunit ribosomal RNA
Source: RNAcentral
GGCAGGUCAGCAUACUGCCGUGAAUACGUUCCCGGGCCUUGUACACACCGCCCGUCACACCAUGAGAGUUGGGAAUACCCGAAGCCUGUGAGCUAACGUUAAGAGGCAGCAGUCGAAGGUAGAAUCAAUGAUUGGGGUGAAGUCGUAACAAGGUAUC